RNAcentral lists this long non-coding RNA (434 nucleotides) under Homo sapiens (human). RNAcentral describes it as "HSALNT0325424". Lineage: Eukaryota; Metazoa; Chordata; Mammalia; Primates; Hominidae. The record is from RNAcentral.
GGAGCAGCUGCGUGGACUUCUGGUACUUUCUGAUUUCCCGCAGCGCCAGGGUGCCAGGCUUGUAGCGCUCCCCAUUCACAGGAUUCUCGAGGCUAAUGCACCAUUCUUCUCUCAACCAGGAAGCACCAGAACAAUGCCUGAGCAUGCGUGGACCUCAGAGCUCCAAAUAUGAUGAGAGGCAGUCUGGAACUCUAGUUCAAGUGAUUUGCCAGGUCGGCCACCCAAAAUGCUGGGAUAACAGGAAUAAGCCACUGUGCACGGUCUGAGAUACAAAUAUGAUUGAAAGGGAUGAUCAAACAGGCUGCUGCCUUCAUCUGGGUGUAACCAAUGUAAGAUGUAAGAAAGAUGUUAAAUCACGGGUAAGUCCAGGAUGGGCUGAGAUACUGAAGCUCCAGCAUAGAAAGUGUGCUCUCAUAGAAAGACUAGAAGCAGUA